CCUACGGGGGGCUGCAGUGGGGAAUAUUGCACAAUGGGGGGAACCCUGAUGCAGCGACGCCGCGUGAGCGAUGAAGUAUUUCGGUAUGUAAAGCUCUAUCAGCAGGGAAGAAAAUGACGGUACCUGACUAAGAAGCCCCGGCUAACUACGUGCCAGCAGCCGCGGUAAUACGUAGGGGGCAAGCGUUAUCCGGAUUUACUGGGUGUAAAGGGAGCGUAGACGGCUGUGCAAGUCUGGAGUGAAAGGCAUGGGCUCAACCUGUGGACUGCUUUGGAAACUGUGCGGCUUGAGUGUCGGAGAGGCAAGUGGAAUUCCUAGUGUAGCGGUGAAAUGCGUAGAUAUUAGGAGGAACACCAGUGGCGAAGGCGGCUUGCUUGACGAUGACUGACGUUGAGGCUCGAAAGCGUGGGGAGCAAACAGGAUUAGAUACCCGUGUAGUC
RNAcentral lists this ribosomal RNA (440 nucleotides) under uncultured bacterium. Its description in RNAcentral is "partial 16S ribosomal RNA". It matches the Rfam family "Bacterial small subunit ribosomal RNA", at positions 338 to 795 of the family's 1533-position model. The record is from RNAcentral.